UGGAGAGUUUGAUCCUGGCUCAGAUUGAACGCUGGCGGCAGGCCUAACACAUGCAAGUCGAACGGUAACAGGAAACAGCUUGCUGUUUCGCUGACGAGUGGCGGACGGGUGAGUAAUGUCUGGGAAACUGCCUGAUGGAGGGGGAUAACUACUGGAAACGGUAGCUAAUACCGCAUAACGUCGCAAGACCAAAGAGGGGG
This 200-nucleotide ribosomal RNA is filed under the name Shigella boydii. RNAcentral's name for it is "partial 16S ribosomal RNA". It matches the Rfam family "Bacterial small subunit ribosomal RNA", at positions 1 to 210 of the family's 1533-position model. The record is from RNAcentral. Lineage: Bacteria; Pseudomonadati; Pseudomonadota; Gammaproteobacteria; Enterobacterales; Enterobacteriaceae.